AAGACCCAAGUGAACAGCGCAGA
RNAcentral lists this non-coding RNA (23 nucleotides) under Cricetulus griseus (Chinese hamster). Lineage: Eukaryota; Metazoa; Chordata; Mammalia; Rodentia; Cricetidae. The record is from RNAcentral.